Molecule: ribosomal RNA, 502 nt
Filed under: uncultured bacterium
Lineage: Bacteria
Description: bacterial SSU rRNA
Rfam family: Bacterial small subunit ribosomal RNA
Source: RNAcentral
AAUCAACGCUGGCGGCGUGCCUAACACAUGCAAGUCGAACGAGAAGGUGACUUCGGUCACUGGAUAGUGGCGUCCGGGUGAGUAACACGUAGGUAAUCUACCUUCGGGUGGGGAAUAACGUCUCGAAAGAGACGCUAAUACCGCAUAAUGCAGCGGCACCUAAUGGUGAUUAGUUGUUAAAGCGGGGAGUCUUCGGACCUCGCGCCUGAAGAGGAGCCUGCGGCAGAUUAGCUAGUUGGUGAGGUAAUGGCUCACCAAGGCUUCGAUCUGUAGCUGGUCUGAGAGGACGGCCAGCCACACUGGCACUGACACACGGGCCAGACUCCUACGGGAGGCAGCAGUGGGGAAUUUUGGGCAAUGGGCGAAAGCCUGACCCAGCAACGCCGCGUGAAGGAGGAAAUCCUUCGGGAUGUAAACUUCAUAAGUAAGGGAAGAAAGCUGCGGAUCGAAUAAGUCCGCAGUCCGACGGUACCUUACGUAAGCCACGGCUAACUACGUGCCA